UACGGGAGGCAGCAGUGGGGAAUAUUGCACAAUGGAGGAAACUCUGAUGCAGCAACGCCGCGUGGAGGAUGACACAUUUCGGUGCGUAAACUCCUUUUAUAUAGGAAGAUAAUGACGGUACUAUAUGAAUAAGCGCCGGCUAACUCCGUGCCAGCAGCCGCGGUAAUACGGAGGGCGCAAGCGUUACUCGGAAUCACUGGGCGUAAAGAGCGUGUAGGCGGGUUAAUAAGUCAGAUGUGAAAGCCAAUGGCUCAACCAUUGAACUGCAUUUGAAACUGUUAACCUAGAGUAUGGGAGAGGUAGAUGGAAUUUCUGGUGUAGGGGUAAAAUCCGUAGAGAUCAGAAGGAAUACCGAUUGCGAAGGCGAUCUACUGGAACAUUACUGACGCUGAGACGCGAAAGCGUGGGGAGCAAACAGGAUUAGAUACCCUGGUAGUCCACGCCCUAAACGAUGUACACUAGUUGUUGCUAUGCUAGACAUAGCAGUAAUGCAGUUAACACAUUAAGUGUACCGCCUGGGGAGUACGGUCGCAAGAUUAAAACUCAAAGGAAUAGACGGGGACCCGCACAAGCGGUGGAGCAUGUGGUUUAAUUCGACGAUACGCGAAGAACCUUACCUGGACUUGACAUAGUAAGAACAAUUUAGAGAUAGAUUGGUGUCUGCUUGCAGAAACUUAUAUACAGGUGCUGCACGGCUGUCGUCAGCUCGUGUCGUGAGAUGUUGGGUUAAGUCCCGCAACGAGCGCAACCCUCGUCGUUAGUUGCUAACAGUUCGGCUGAGAACUCUAACGAGACUGCCUGGGUAACCAGGAGGAAGGUGAGGACGACGUCAAGUCCUCAUGG
This 843-nucleotide ribosomal RNA is filed under the name uncultured bacterium. RNAcentral's name for it is "bacterial SSU rRNA". It matches the Rfam family "Bacterial small subunit ribosomal RNA", at positions 340 to 1198 of the family's 1533-position model. The record is from RNAcentral.